UGCAUGUACCUUAUGAAUAAGCAUCGGCUAACUCCGUGCCAGCAGCCGCGGUAAUACGGAGGAUGCGAGCGUUAUCCGGAUUUAUUGGGUUUAAAGGGAGCGUAGGCGGGAGAUUAAGUCAGCUGUGAAAGUUCGGGGCUCAACCUUGGAAUUGCAGUUGAAACUGGUUUUCUUGAGUGCGGCAGAGGCAGGCGGAAUUCGUGGUGUAGCGGUGAAAUGCUUAGAUAUCACGAAGAACCCCGAUUGCGAAGGCAGCUUGCUGGAGCGUAACUGACGCUGAUGCUCGAAAGUGUGGGUAUCAAACAGGAUUAGAUACCCUGGUAGUCCACACGGUAAACGAUGGAUACUCGCUGUUGGCGAUAUACGGUCAGCGGCCAAGCGAAAGCAUUAAGUAUCCCACCUGGGGAGUACGCCGGCAACGGUGAAACUCAAAGGAAUUGACGGGGGCCCGCACAAGCGGAGGAACAUGUGGUUUAAUUCGAUGAUACGCGAGGAACCUUACCCGGGCUUAAAUUAUGCAUGAAUGAUCUGGAGACAGGUCAGCCGCAAGGCAUGUAUGAAGGUGCUGCAUGGUUGUCGUCAGCUCGUGCCGUGAGGUGUCGGCUUAAGUGCCAUAACGAGCGCAACCCUUUCUGCCAGUUACUAACAGG
RNAcentral lists this ribosomal RNA (650 nucleotides) under Bacteroides caecigallinarum. RNAcentral describes it as "bacterial SSU rRNA". It matches the Rfam family "Bacterial small subunit ribosomal RNA", at positions 470 to 1125 of the family's 1533-position model. The record is from RNAcentral. Lineage: Bacteria; Pseudomonadati; Bacteroidota; Bacteroidia; Bacteroidales; Bacteroidaceae.